Molecule: unclassified non-coding RNA, 327 nt
Filed under: soil metagenome
Description: partial contains 5.8S ribosomal RNA, internal transcribed spacer 2, and large subunit ribosomal RNA
Rfam family: 5.8S ribosomal RNA (bases 1-120)
Source: RNAcentral
GAUGAAGAACGUAGCGAAAUGCGAUAAGUAAUGUGAAUUGCAGAAUUCAGUGAAUCAUCGAAUCUUUGAACGCACAUUGCGCCCUUUGGUAUUCCGAAGGGCAUGCCUGUUCGAGCGUCAUUUCACCACUCAAGCCUGGCCUGGUAUUGGGCGCCGCGGUCGAUCCGCGCGCCUCAAAGUCUCCGGCUGAGCUGUCCGUCUCUAAGCGUUGUGAUUUCAUUAAUCGCUUCGGAGUGCGGGCGGCCGCGGCCGUUAAAUCUUUCACAAGGUUGACCUCGGAUCAGGUAGGGAUACCCGCUGAACUUAAGCAUAUCAAUAAGCGGAGGA